UUCCGCGUGUGCUUCCGAUAUAUGCUAUUUAUUGUUCAUACUGCCCUUUUGUACUCUGGUGUUAUGGGAUAAUGUGAACCUUUGCCAGAAAUGGUAAAGGGAGUUAUGCAUAGAGCCUGUGAUGCUCUACCGGCCCCCUCUGACUUCACCUAGACGUGGGUGGAUGGAGCUCCCAAACGUGGGAGACUUCUGUCUGGUGGUCAUUCAGAAAUGGAUGAAUCACAUUCUGUCUGUGGUCCCACUACACCUUCUGUAUGUUUGAUAUGAUAUCCAGAGCUUUGGUUAUGUGUUUCUGUACAUGCUUUGGAUAAGAAUGAAAUGA
Molecule: long non-coding RNA, 322 nt
Filed under: Musa acuminata (dwarf banana)
Lineage: Eukaryota; Viridiplantae; Streptophyta; Magnoliopsida; Zingiberales; Musaceae
Description: long non-coding RNA (MACU_LNC009610)
Source: RNAcentral